RNAcentral lists this unclassified non-coding RNA (433 nucleotides) under soil metagenome. RNAcentral describes it as "partial contains 5.8S ribosomal RNA, internal transcribed spacer 2, and large subunit ribosomal RNA". The stretch from base 1 to 120 matches the Rfam family "5.8S ribosomal RNA", at positions 35 to 154 of the family's 154-position model. The record is from RNAcentral.
GAUGAAGAACGUAGCGAAAUGCGAUACGUAAUGUGAAUUGCAGAAUUCAGUGAAUCAUCGAAUCUUUGAACGCAUAUUGCGCUCUCUGGUAUUCCGGAGAGCAUGCUUGUUUGAGUAUCAGUAAACACCUCAACUUCCAUAUCUUUUUUGAAAUGGGAGUUGGACUUGAGUGAUCCCAACGCUUUUCCUCACCGAAAAGUGGCGGGUUACUUGAAAUGCAGGUGCAGCUGGACUUUUCUCUGAGCUAUCAGCAUAUCUAUUUAGUCUGCCUAAAAAACAGAUUAUUACCUUUGCUGCAGCUAACAUAAAGGAGAUUAGUUCUUGUGCUGACUGAUGCAGGAUUCACAAAGACAGGCUUCGGCCGACUUUGGAAACUCGAUCUCAAAUCAAGUAAGACUACCCGCUGAACUUAAGCAUAUCAAUAAGCGGAGGA